GAUGAACGCUAGCGAUAGGCUUAACACAUGCAAGUCGAGGGGCAGCACAAGGUAGCUUGCUAUCUGGGUGGCGACCGGCGCACGGGUGCGUAACGCGUAUGCAACUUGCCCUAUACAGGAGGAUAACCCGUCGAAAGACGGACUAAUACUGCGUAUGCUCACAACUUGGCAUCAAGUGGUGAGUAAAGACAUUCGGUAUAGGAUAGGCAUGCGUCCCAUUAGCUUGUUGGUGAGGUAACGGCUCACCAAGGCAACGAUGGGUAGGGGAACUGAGAGGUUUAUCCCCUGCACUGGUACUGAGACACGGACCAGACUCCUACGGGAGGCAGCAGUGAGGAAUAUUGGUCAAUGGGCGCGAGCCUGAACCAGCCAAGUCGCGUGAAGGAUGACUGUCUUAUGGAUUGUAAACUUCUUUUAUACGGGAAUAACAAGAGUCACGUGUGACUCCCUGACUGUACCGUAUGAAUAAGCAUCGGCUAACUCCGUG
Molecule: ribosomal RNA, 487 nt
Filed under: uncultured bacterium
Lineage: Bacteria
Description: partial 16S ribosomal RNA
Rfam family: Bacterial small subunit ribosomal RNA
Source: RNAcentral